RNAcentral lists this transfer RNA (75 nucleotides) under Bacteroidota bacterium. RNAcentral describes it as "tRNA-Pro". It matches the Rfam family "tRNA". Rfam says of the family: Transfer RNA (tRNA) molecules are approximately 80 nucleotides in length. RNAcentral also lists the same sequence under 1 other name. Lineage: Bacteria; Pseudomonadati; Bacteroidota. The record is from RNAcentral.
CGGGGUAUAGCGCAGCCCGGUUAGCGCAUCUGGUUUGGGACCAGAGGGCCGUGUGUUCGAAUCACACUACCCCGA